RNAcentral lists this ribosomal RNA (271 nucleotides) under uncultured archaeon. Its description in RNAcentral is "partial 16S ribosomal RNA". It matches the Rfam family "Archaeal small subunit ribosomal RNA", at positions 477 to 747 of the family's 1478-position model. The record is from RNAcentral.
CAGCGCCACAAGUGGCAAUCGCAGUUAUUGGGCCUAAAGCGUCCGUAGCAGGUUUCAUAAAUCUUUUGUGAAAUUGCCAGGCUUAACCUGGCAGUGUGCAGAAGACACUGUGAGACUCGAGACCGGGAAGGGUAAGAGGUAUUCCUGAGGGAGCGGUAAAAUGCUAUAAUCUCAGGAGGACCACCUGUGGCGAAGGCGUCUUACUAGAACGGAUCUGACUGUGAGGGACGAAAGCUAGGGGAGCAAACCGGAUUAGAUACCCGAGUAGUCC